GAGUUUGAUCGUGGCUCAGGACGAACGCUGGCGGCAGGCUUAACACAUGCAAGUCGAACGCGUGUAGCAAUACACGAGUGGCGCACGGGUGAGUAACGCGUGGAUAUCUGCCUUUUGGUUCGGAAUAACCCCGGGAAACUGGGGCUAAUACCGGAUGGUUCCCUCGGGAUAAAGAUUUAUCGCCAAAAGAUGAGUCCGCGUACGAUUAGCUAGUUGGUGAGGUAAUGGCUCACCAAGGCGACGAUCGUUAGCUGGUCUGAGAGGACGAUCAGCCACACUGGGACUGAGACACGGCCCAGACUCCUACGGGAGGCAGCAGUGGGGAAUAUUGGACAAUGGGGGCAACCCUGAUCCAGCCAUGCCGCGUGAGUGAUGAAGGCCUUCGGGUUG
RNAcentral lists this ribosomal RNA (390 nucleotides) under uncultured Alphaproteobacteria bacterium. Its description in RNAcentral is "bacterial SSU rRNA". It matches the Rfam family "Bacterial small subunit ribosomal RNA", at positions 9 to 425 of the family's 1533-position model. Lineage: Bacteria; Pseudomonadati; Pseudomonadota; Alphaproteobacteria. The record is from RNAcentral.